GAGGGUAUAGCUCAAGUGGUAGGGCACGUGCUUAGCAUGCACAAGGUCCUGGGUUCAAUCCCCAGUACCUCCA
Camelus ferus (Wild Bactrian camel) is the source of this 73-nucleotide transfer RNA. It matches the Rfam family "tRNA". Rfam says of the family: Transfer RNA (tRNA) molecules are approximately 80 nucleotides in length. Their secondary structure includes four short double-helical elements and three loops (D, anti-codon, and T loops). Further hydrogen bonds mediate the characteristic L-shaped molecular structure. tRNAs have two regions of fundamental functional importance: the anti-codon, which is responsible for specific mRNA codon recognition, and the 3' end, to which the tRNAs corresponding amino acid is attached (by aminoacyl-tRNA synthetases). tRNAs cope with the degeneracy of the genetic code in two manners: having more than one tRNA (with a specific anti-codon) for a particular amino acid; and 'wobble' base-pairing, i.e. permitting non-standard base-pairing at the 3rd anti-codon position. NCBI's taxonomy places the organism in Eukaryota, Metazoa, Chordata, Mammalia, Artiodactyla, Camelidae. The record is from Rfam.